GGGGACGCGUAGGUUCGACAGGAGCGGUUUCUGACGGAUUGCAGGCCGAGGUUGCUGCUGCCCUCGUAAAAACAGUGGCGAAAAAGUAACUGGCGAACGUGAAUUCGCUCUAGCCGCCUAGUCGCGGCUACGUCUGCCACCGGUAGGUCCGGAAGCUGGGACGCGGAUGUACAAUUAUUCCGGGAUGCUACCUCAGGGACGCCGAUACCCGAGGCCAUAGACUUUAUCGGCUGGCGGUUGAUGAAUCCCGUCGGCGGGAGUCCUCAGCAGCAAGAUUAAAUCGCCGAACACGCUUGUAGCAUAUCCGAUCAGGGAAGUUUCUGGACGGGGAGUGCGACUCUCCCCCGUCUCCACCA
This 356-nucleotide transfer-messenger RNA is filed under the name Chloroflexota bacterium. It matches the Rfam family "transfer-messenger RNA". From Rfam's summary of the family: Bacterial tmRNA, also known as 10Sa RNA or SsrA, is named for its dual tRNA and mRNA-like properties. Its role is to liberate the mRNA from a stalled ribosome. To accomplish this part of the tmRNA is used as a reading frame that ends in a translation stop signal. The record is from RNAcentral. Lineage: Bacteria; Bacillati; Chloroflexota.